GCUACACUUGGAGCCUACACCAUGCUCUUAUCAGCCUAGGCAAGGCACUGUCCGAAUCCCUGCUUUCCCCAGAGACUUCCGCCCCAGCCAGCAUCUGUUUCCUCUGCUAUAUUUAAACAACCAGGUUAGUGAACUUGGGACAGCAUUUCUGCCCAGGAGGAACAAAGCCUUCCACAGAACACACAGGAUAUAUUGUGAUUCUGAGGCCUUGUGGGUUGCUGUGUGCUCCUUCUCAGCUACUGGUCAUUGCAGAAUAAUUUUCAUCUUGAAAUCACAAAAUGAAAAAUCUUGCAAACAAAUCAGCAGAAGGAUGGUGACAAGGGGAUGAAAGAAGUCUAUCUUCAAUUCAAGAAUCUGAAAGAAGAGGACCUCCAAGUAUGUUAGAG
Heterocephalus glaber (naked mole-rat) is the source of this 386-nucleotide long non-coding RNA. The record is from Ensembl. NCBI's taxonomy places the organism in Eukaryota, Metazoa, Chordata, Mammalia, Rodentia, Bathyergidae.